GCCUUCGUGGUGUAAUGGUCAGCACACUCGGCGCGUAUUCUAGAGGUCCAAGGUUCGAGUCCCGGCGAGGGCA
RNAcentral lists this transfer RNA (73 nucleotides) under Stegodyphus mimosarum. It matches the Rfam family "tRNA". Rfam says of the family: Transfer RNA (tRNA) molecules are approximately 80 nucleotides in length. Their secondary structure includes four short double-helical elements and three loops (D, anti-codon, and T loops). Lineage: Eukaryota; Metazoa; Arthropoda; Arachnida; Araneae; Eresidae. The record is from Rfam by way of RNAcentral.